This 35-nucleotide ribosomal RNA is filed under the name Symbiodinium sp. Ha7. RNAcentral describes it as "partial 24S ribosomal RNA". Lineage: Eukaryota; Dinophyceae; Suessiales; Symbiodiniaceae. The record is from RNAcentral.
UCUAGCAUGAAGUCAGACAAGUGAACCCGCUGAAG